RNAcentral lists this ribosomal RNA (468 nucleotides) under uncultured bacterium. RNAcentral describes it as "partial 16S ribosomal RNA". It matches the Rfam family "Bacterial small subunit ribosomal RNA", at positions 28 to 507 of the family's 1533-position model. The record is from RNAcentral.
GACGAACGCUGGCGGCGUGCUUAACACAUGCAAGUCGAACGGAAAGGCCCUGCUUUUGUGGGGUGCUCGAGUGGCGAACGGGUGAGUAACACGUGAGUAACCUGCCCUUGACUUUGGGAUAACUUCAGGAAACUGGGGCUAAUACCGGAUAGGAGCUCCUGCUGCAUGGUGGGGGUUGGAAAGUUUCGGCGGUUGGGGAUGGACUCGCGGCUUAUCAGCUUGUUGGUGGGGUAGUGGCUUACCAAGGCUUUGACGGGUAGCCGGCCUGAGAGGGUGACCGGCCACAUUGGGACUGAGAUACGGCCCAGACUCCUACGGGCGGCAGAAGUGGGGAAUAUUGCACAAUGGGCGGAAGCCUGAUGCAGCAACGCCGCGUGCGGGAUGACGGCCUUCGGGUUGUAAACCGCUUUCGCCUGUGACGAAGCGUGAGUGACGGUAAUGGGUAAAGAAGCACCGGCUAACUACGUG